AGACCCGAAACCCGGUGAUCUAGCCAUGGGCAGGUUGAAGGUUGGGUAACACUAACUGGAGGACCGAACCGACUAAUGUUGAAAAAUUAGCGGAUGACCUGUGGCUGGGGGUGAAAGGCCAAUCAAACCGGGAGAUAGCUGGUUCUCCCCGAAAGCUAUUUAGGUAGCGCCUCGUGAAUUCAUCUCCGGGGGUAGAGCACUGUUUCGGCUAGGGGGCCAUCCCGGCUUACCAACCCGAUGCAAACUGCGAAUACCGGAGAAUGUUAUCACGGGAGACACACGGCGGGUGCUAACGUCCGUCGUGAAGAGGGAAACAACCCAGACCGCCAGCUAAGGUCCCAAAGUCAUGGUUAAGUGGGAAACGAUGUGGGAAGGCCCAGACAGCCAGGAUGUUGGCUUAGAAGCAGCCAUCAUUUAAAGAAAGCGUAAUAGCUCACUGGUCGAGUCGGCCUGCGCGGAAGAUGUAACGGGGCUAAACCAUGCACCGAAGCUGCGGCAGCGACACUGUGUGUUGUUGGGUAGGGGAGCGUUCUGUAAGCCUGUGAAGGUGGCCUGUGAGGGUUGCUGGAGGUAUCAGAAGUGCGAAUGCUGACAUAAGUAACGAUAAAGCGGGUGAAAAGCCCGCUCGCCGGAAGACCAAGGGUUCCUGUCCAACGUUAAUCGGGGCAGGGUGAGUCGACCCCUAAGGCGAGGCCGAAAGGCGUAGUCGAUGGGAAACAGGUUAAUAUUCCUGUACUUGGUGUUACUGCGAAGGGGGGACGGAGAAGGCUAUGUUGGCCGGGCGACGGUUGUCCCGGUUUAAGCGUGUAGGCUGGUUUUCCAGGCAAAUCCGGAAAAUCAAGGCUGAGGCGUGAUGACGAGGCACUACGGUGCUGAAGCAACAAAUGCCCUGCUUCCAGGAAAAGCCUCUAAGCAUCAGGUAACAUCAAAUCGUACCCCAAACCGACACAGGUGGUCAGGUAGAGAAUACCAAGGCGCUUGAGAGAACUCGGGUGAAGGAACUAGGCAAAAUGGUGCCGUAACUUCGGGAGAAGGCACGCUGACACGUAGGUGAAGUGAUUUACUCAUGGAGCUGAAGUCAGUCGAAGAUACCAGCUGGCUGCAACUGUUUAUUAAAAACACAGCACUGUGCAAACACGAAAGUGGACGUAUACGGUGUGACGCCUGCCCGGUGCCGGAAGGUUAAUUGAUGGGGUCAGCGCAAGCGAAGCUCCUGAUCGAAGCCCCGGUAAACGGCGGCCGUAACUAUAACGGUCCUAAGGUAGCGAAAUUCCUUGUCGGGUAAGUUCCGACCUGCACGAAUGGCGUAAUGAUGGCCAGGCUGUCUCCACCCGAGACUCAGUGAAAUUGAACUCGCUGUGAAGAUGCAGUGUACCCGCGGCAAGACGGAAAGACCCCGUGAACCUUUACUAUAGCUUGACACUGAACAUUGAGCCUUGAUGUGUAGGAUAGGUGGGAGGCUUUGAAGUGUGGACGCCAGUCUGCAUGGAGCCGACCUUGAAAUACCACCCUUUAAUGUUUGAUGUUCUAACGUGGACCCGUAAUCCGGGUUGCGGACAGUGUCUGGUGGGUAGUUUGACUGGGGCGGUCUCCUCCUAAAGAGUAACGGAGGAGCACGAAGGUUGGCUAAUCCUGGUCGGACAUCAGGAGGUUAGUGCAAUGGCAUAAGCCAGCUUGACUGCGAGCGUGACGGCGCGAGCAGGUGCGAAAGCAGGUCAUAGUGAUCCGGUGGUUCUGAAUGGAAGGGCCAUCGCUCAACGGAUAAAAGGUACUCCGGGGAUAACAGGCUGAUACCGCCCAAGAGUUCAUAUCGACGGCGGUGUUUGGCACCUCGAUGUCGGCUCAUCACAUCCUGGGGCUGAAGUAGGUCCCAAGGGUAUGGCUGUUCGCCAUUUAAAGUGGUACGCGAGCUGGGUUUAGAACGUCGUGAGACAGUUCGGUCCCUAUCUGCCGUGGGCGCUGGAGAACUGAGGGGGGCUGCUCCUAGUACGAGAGGACCGGAGUGGACGCAUCACUGGUGUUCGGGUUGUCAUGCCAAUGGCACUGCCCGGUAGCUAAAUGCGGAAGAGAUAAGUGCUGAAAGCAUCUAAGCACGAAACUUGCCCCGA
Molecule: ribosomal RNA, 2108 nt
Filed under: Salmonella enterica subsp. enterica serovar Newport
Lineage: Bacteria; Pseudomonadati; Pseudomonadota; Gammaproteobacteria; Enterobacterales; Enterobacteriaceae
Description: partial 23S ribosomal RNA
Rfam family: Bacterial large subunit ribosomal RNA
Source: RNAcentral